UAAAGUUGAUGGCAGUCAACUAGUUAUUAUGAAAGAGAAAAUGGAAAAGGUUUUACAAGAGAAAAAGAUUAUUACUGAAGAUAAUGAGAAACUUAGAGCUACAGUUGCUUAUAAUGAAGUAUAUAUAAUUGAAAUAGAAGAAGAGAAGAAACAAGUAGAGGAAGAGAAA
This is a long non-coding RNA of Amphimedon queenslandica, 169 nucleotides long. RefSeq lists it as uncharacterized. The transcript is spliced from 2 exons. The record is from RefSeq and is a predicted model, not a curated record. NCBI's taxonomy places the organism in Eukaryota, Metazoa, Porifera, Demospongiae, Haplosclerida, Niphatidae.